UACGAAGGGGGCUAGCGUUGUUCGGAAUUACUGGGCGUAAAGCGCACGUAGGCGGAUCUUUAAGUCAGGGGUGAAAUCCCGGGGCUCAACCCCGGAACAGCCUCUGAUACUGGGGAUCUCGAGUCCGAGAGAGGUGAGUGGAAUUCCGAGUGUAGAGGUGAAAUUCGUAGAUAUUCGGAGGAACACCAGUGGCGAAGGCGGCUCACUGGCCCGAUACUGACGCUGAGGCGCGAAAGCGUGGGGAGCAAACAGG
RNAcentral lists this ribosomal RNA (253 nucleotides) under uncultured bacterium. Its description in RNAcentral is "partial 16S ribosomal RNA". It matches the Rfam family "Bacterial small subunit ribosomal RNA", at positions 524 to 776 of the family's 1533-position model. The record is from RNAcentral.